This 75-nucleotide transfer RNA is filed under the name Phycisphaerae bacterium. RNAcentral's name for it is "tRNA-Glu". It matches the Rfam family "tRNA". From Rfam's summary of the family: Transfer RNA (tRNA) molecules are approximately 80 nucleotides in length. Their secondary structure includes four short double-helical elements and three loops (D, anti-codon, and T loops). RNAcentral also lists the same sequence under 1 other name. The record is from RNAcentral. Lineage: Bacteria; Pseudomonadati; Planctomycetota; Phycisphaerae.
GGCCCCAUCGUCUAGCCCGGUUUAGGACACCUCCCUUUCACGGAGGUAACAGGGGUUCGAAUCCCCUUGGGGUCA